AUACCUUUCUCAAUCUUUUAACUAAGAUCAAGUGUAGUAGUGUUCUUAUCAAUUUAAUAUUUGAUAUAAAAAAUUAAAUUAAUUUUUUAUAAGAGAGUCUAUUACAAUAGCUUGUUAUUGGGGUUCUCGAAAAAAAAUAAUAAUUUCAGUUAGCCUCAUUGACUAUCUCUGAGGUGAUCGACCUAGCCCCA
This is a small nuclear RNA of Zingiber officinale, 191 nucleotides long. RefSeq annotates it as U2 spliceosomal RNA. The record is from RefSeq and is a predicted model, not a curated record. Lineage: Eukaryota; Viridiplantae; Streptophyta; Magnoliopsida; Zingiberales; Zingiberaceae. The transcript has a single exon.